GGGUUGUGAGGUUAAGCGACUAAGCGUACACGGUGGAUGCCCUGGCAGUCAGAGGCGAUGAAGGACGUGCUAAUCUGCGAUAAGCGUCGGUAAGGUGAUAUGAACCGUUAUAGCCGGCGAUUUCCGAAUGGGGAAACCCAGUGUGAUUCGUCACACUAUCAUUGCGUGAAUACAUAGCGUAAUGAAGCGAACCGGGGGAACUGAAACAUCUAAGUACCCCGAGGAAAAGAAAUCAACCGAGAUUCCCCCAGUAGCGGCGAGCGAACGGGGAGCAGCCCAGAACCUGAAUCAGUUUGUGUGUUAGUGGAAGCGUCUGGAAAGUCGCAGGGUACAGGGUGAUACUCCCGUACACUAAAAUGCACAUACUGUGAGUUCGAAGAGUAGGGCGGGACACGUGGUAUCCUGUCUGAAUAUGGGGGGACCAUCCUCCAAGGCUAAAUACUCCUGACUGACCGAUAGUGAACCAGUACCGUGAGGGAAAGGCGAAAAGAACCCCGGCGAGGGGAGUGAAAAAGAACCUGAAACCGUGUACGUACAAGCAGUGGGAGCCUCUUUAUGGGGUGACUGCGUACCUUUUGUAUAAUGGGUCAGCGACUUAUAUUCUGUAGCAAGGUUAACCGUAUAGGGGAGCCGCAGGGAAACCGAGUCUUAACUGGGCGUUAAGUUGCAGGGUAUAGACCCGAAACCCGGUGAUCUAGCCAUGGGCAGGUUGAAGGUUGGGUAACACUAACUGGAGGACCGAACCGACUAAUGUUGAAAAAUUAGCGGAUGACUUGUGGCUGGGGGUGAAAGGCCAAUCAAACCGGGAGAUAGCUGGUUCUCCCCGAAAGCUAUUUAGGUAGCGCCUCGGACGAAUACUAUUGGGGGUAGAGCACUGUUAAGGCUAGGGGGUCAUCCCGACUUACCAACCCUUUGCAAACUCCGAAUACCAAUGAGUACUAUACGGGAGACACACGGCGGGUGCUAACGUCCGUCGUGAAAAGGGAAACAACCCAGACCAUCAGCUAAGGUCCCAAAGUCAUGGUUAAGUGGGAAACGAUGUGGGAAGGCUUAGACAGCUAGGAUGUUGGCUUAGAAGCAGCCAUCAUUUAAAGAAAGCGUAAUAGCUCACUAGUCGAGUCGGCCUGCGCGGAAGAUUUAACGGGGCUAAGCAAUACACCGAAGCUAUGGGUUUGCUAGUUUACUGGCAAGCGGUAGAGGAGCGUUCUGUAAGCCGUUGAAGGCGAAGGGGUAACCCACGCUGGAGGUAUCAGAAGUGCGAAUGCUGACAUGAGUAACGAUAAAGGGAGUGAAAAACUCCCUCGCCGAAAGACCAAGGGUUCCUGUCCAACGUUAAUCGGGGCAGGGUGAGUCGACCCCUAAGGCGAGGCCGAAAGGCGUAGUCGAUGGGAAACAGGUUAAUAUUCCUGUACUUGGUGUUACUGCGAAGGGGGGACGGAGAAGGCUAUGUUAGCCGGGCGACGGUUGUCCCGGUUUAAGCAUGUAGGCGGGAAGUUUAGGUAAAUCCGGACUUCUGUUAACGCUGAGGUGUGAUGACGAGGCACUACGGUGCUGAAGUAACAAAUGCCCUGCUUCCAGGAAAAGCCUCUAAGCAUCAGGUAACAUUAAAUCGUACCCCAAACCGACACAGGUGGUCAGGUAGAGAAUACCAAGGCGCUUGAGAGAACUCGGGUGAAGGAACUAGGCAAAAUGGUGCCGUAACUUCGGGAGAAGGCACGCUGUCGGUAAGUGAAACCCCUCGCGGGUGGAGCUGAAGGCAGUCGAAGAUACCAGCUGGCUGCAACUGUUUAUUAAAAACACAGCACUGUGCAAACACGAAAGUGGACGUAUACGGUGUGACGCCUGCCCGGUGCCGGAAGGUUAAUUGAUGGGGUUAUCCGUAAGGAGAAGCUCUUGAUCGAAGCCCCGGUAAACGGCGGCCGUAACUAUAACGGUCCUAAG
This 1941-nucleotide ribosomal RNA is filed under the name Oceanobacillus profundus. Its description in RNAcentral is "partial 23S ribosomal RNA". It matches the Rfam family "Bacterial large subunit ribosomal RNA", at positions 1 to 1955 of the family's 2925-position model. Lineage: Bacteria; Bacillati; Bacillota; Bacilli; Caryophanales; Bacillaceae. The record is from RNAcentral.